AACGAACGCUGGCGGCGUGCCUCAUACAUGCAAGUCGAACGAGAAAGCCCGGCUUCGGUUGGGUUAGUAAAGUGGCGCACGGGUGCGUAACACGUGAGGAACAUGCCCCUAUGUCGGGGAUAAGCCUGCGAAAGCGGGUCUAAUACCGGAUGUUGUCAUUGGAUCGCAUGGUUCGAUGAUUAAAGGCGGUUGAGUCUAUGCCGCCGCAUAGGGAUUGUCUCGCGGCCCAUUAGCUAGUUGGCGGUGUAAUAGACCACCAAGGCUCCGAUGGGUAGCCGACCUGAGAGGGUGACCGGCCACACUGGGACUGAGAUACGGCCCAGACUCCUACGGGAGGCUG
RNAcentral lists this ribosomal RNA (340 nucleotides) under uncultured bacterium. RNAcentral's name for it is "bacterial SSU rRNA". It matches the Rfam family "Bacterial small subunit ribosomal RNA", at positions 29 to 351 of the family's 1533-position model. The record is from RNAcentral.